This is an RNA transcript of Culicoides brevitarsis, 2829 nucleotides long. It is a transcript of the gene named prominin-1, with no coding region annotated. The transcript has 13 exons. The record is from RefSeq and is a predicted model, not a curated record. Lineage: Eukaryota; Metazoa; Arthropoda; Insecta; Diptera; Ceratopogonidae.
AAGAAUAUCAAAUUAUCUAUAAAAGUUAAACUUCAUAUAAAAACGUAAAAUUUAGUAUUAAAUAGGAAUGCUGUAAAAAAUAUUUAGCCUCAUGAAUAGUGAAAUAUCGUUUGAGUAUCCAGAGCCCAAGCCAAGUGGCAAUUAUGUGAUAUCAUCUUUGGAUUUGCAUGAUGGAACCUUUCUUUUUUCUUACGUUUCAGCGUUUUUGGCAUAUGUCACACCUCAAGAACUGCCAGUAGUCUAUUGUAUUUUAGAAAUUUUACGCGAUGCCAUCCACGCAAAAGUUUCGAUCCUGCGACUUGUGCUCGAGGCUCUCAAAGUGGAAUCUGGUUUUAUAUGUUUGAUGGUUCUGUUUUUCAUGAUUUCAUUGAUUCCAUUAGGCUAUAUAAUUGCAUGGGGCUGUGCAAAGACAAAUGACAAGGAAGAGAGAAAUAAUGAAAGUAACGACCAUAACGGCAUGGAUAAUUUAGUGCCUACGGAAAAUACGAUGCUUACAUCUUUAGAAUGUCGUCGAAAGUGCUUAGUUAUCACAUUACAAAUAAUUUUGGUGUUUUUUGUAUUGUGUGUCAUUAUCAUGUUUGUAACGAACGAACAAGCAUCAUCAGCAAUCGACAAGACACCCCUGCUGAUACGGUCAGCCUUGAAGGAUUCCGAAACAUUUUUAAAGGAUAUUCAUCAUCAAGCAAUUUUUACAAUUUAUGAAGGACUAAAUACAGUUAAUGACAGAAUAAAAAUUGAUCUAGAAGAUAUUGAUAAAUUGUUGGGAGAUCCAAUUCAACACAAGUUGCUGGAAGACACGGAUUUAGAUGGAAUUUUUGAAUCAUUGUUGGAUAUUUGUACAAGCAGUAAUAAUUUAUCACAUCGGAUAUAUCUGCUACAAGACACGCUAAACCGUGCCACAGCAAUUGUUUCUGAAGCCGAAAGUCGUUUGGAUGAGAUAUCAAUACAAUUAUCGGUUCUCCAGAAACAGUGUACAUAUCGUGAUCGACCUUUGUGCGACACAAUUCAUAUUAAAAACAUGGACGAAAGCGGGUUAAACCUUAAAUUUAAAAAGUUGCGCAACGACGUCUUGCUGAAUAAACUCAAAUUGAUGGGAGACAUGACCAACGAGAGCAUAUUGAAAAAUUUCACAGCGGAAAUCAAGCAUGCAAAAUCUGCUUUUAAAAUGUAUCCACAACGCGUCGCUCAGGAGACAGCAAAUUACAAAGAAGAAACCUUGAAUGAAAUUAUUGCAAUGAGAGAUACAGUUCAUUCACAAACGCGUGUUUUUACAUCAACUAUUCGGUCACUCGUGGAUCGAAUCGAUCAUACAUGGGGUUAUGCCGAGCCCUUUUUGGACGAAUUGAGCAAAGCUGGAUUUAUUCUGUGGAUUGUGGGAUUGACAGCAUGUUCCCUCGCAUUAGCUGUGACACUUUUGUACAUUCUAGCUCUCAGCUGUGAUUGUUGUCAUGCGAAAAGUAAAGCCCGAAUCACGUUAAUCAUAAGCGCAAUAUUUACCUCGAUCGCUGCCAUUUUUUUGACAAUUUUUCUCAUUUUCGAAAUGAUUGUUGGUGGACAUACAGAGCUGUUUGUUUGUCGUUCCUUUUACGAAGCUCCUAAUUAUACAAUUUUAAGUAAACUAAUUGACAAGCCUGGUUUGAUAUUUGCUACGGAGCCGGCGAAUGGUAUCCUGGGCGAACUCAUUAAGUCUCCCGAAUACACGUAUACACAAGCAGCUGUUAAUGUGUCAAUCAGUCAAGCAUUGAACGAAUGUGAAAAGGGAAAAUCGGCAUACGCUACAUUCGAUUUGGAUUCGUUAUUAAAUAUCAGCACCUCAUUAGACUUUCGAAACUAUGACUCGUUGAACAAUGCAAUAUCGAAGAUUGUUGCCUCAGAGGCGGAAUUUUUAAGUAUCACACAAACGCUGCAGAAGUAUUUGCACGAAAUGAUGAUUGAUUCUGAAGUAAAUUUAACAUAUCAUCGCAUGGAAUUGGUCCAAUUAACGCCGGAAAAGGAUAUGAUUACAUUUAUCGAUCAAAUGCAACGUGUUUCUUUGCAGAUACAAGAUAUGGCAACUGCUGCCAGAAUGACCACAUUGGGAGGUCGAGCAAGGCGAUUGCAAACUUCCUUAUUGAAACCACUGGAAAAUUUACGUUCUGAAAUAGUUUAUCAUCUGACUGCUCUGGAGUUACAAAUUAAACCGUGGGCACAACAGGUGAACAAGAGUCUCAAUCAACUUAAAACGGCGCAGAUUUAUCUUGAUGGUCAAACCACAAAUAUUUGUAUGGAUGCUUCCGAGACUUACCAAAACAGAUUAAAGAGACAUUUGAAAUUUUAUCGCAACCAUACAAUGAAUAUUAUUGAUGGACAGAGUGGAUCAUGCCGCCCAAUGUUUGAUAUUUUUGAUGCAAUCAGACAAUUAUUUUGUCGUCACAUAGUUGAUCCUAUAAACGGUUUAUGGUUUUCUUCGUUUAUUUUUAUUGUUCUUCUGGCUAUCUCGACUCCAGUGUCUCUGGUAUUAUCAACAGUUUUCAAAAACAUUCACAUUCUCGAUAAAAGACUCAAGAGAACUUCUUCGUCUUAUGUGGGAACUGAUGACCAAAUCGUCAUAUCACAACAAAGUAAUUGGGGAACACGUUCCAAUAUCGCUGCCGAUAUUGAUAGGUCAAAUUGGUGAUUCAUCAUUAAAAACAUCAUCAUUAUCACAGUAUGAUAAUUCUCAUCAUUGUGCAUUAAAUGUUAAAAGCCUAGAUACUAACGACAUUUCACUUGUACGACGAGGACCCGAUCAAGACGGAGAGAUAGUUCAAAUAAUUUUUGAUGAUGAAGAUUCAACUGAGCCACGAGAAG